CUCCCAAAGGCACGUGUCG
Molecule: small nuclear RNA, 19 nt
Filed under: Arabidopsis thaliana (thale cress)
Lineage: Eukaryota; Viridiplantae; Streptophyta; Magnoliopsida; Brassicales; Brassicaceae
Description: snRNA_08066
Source: RNAcentral